Molecule: ribosomal RNA, 429 nt
Filed under: Chloroflexota bacterium
Lineage: Bacteria; Bacillati; Chloroflexota
Description: Chloroflexi bacterium partial 16S ribosomal RNA
Rfam family: Bacterial small subunit ribosomal RNA
Source: RNAcentral
UGGGGAAUAUUGCACAAUGGGCGCAAGCCUGAUGCAGCCAUGCCGCGUGUGUGAAGAAGGCCUUCGGGUUGUAAAGCACUUUCAGCGGGGAGGAAGGCGGUGAGGUUAAUAACCUCAUCGAUUGACGUUACCCGCAGAAGAAGCACCGACUAACUCCGUGCCAGCAGCCGCGGUAAUACGGAGGGUGCAAGCGUUAAUCGGAAUUACUGGGCGUAAAGCGCACGCAGGCGGUUUGUUAAGUCAGAUGUGAAAUCCCCGGGCUCAACCUGGGAACUGCAUCUGAUACUGGCAAGCUUGAGUCUCGUAGAGGGGGGUAGAAUUCCAGGUGUAGCGGUGAAAUGCGUAGAGAUCUGGAGGAAUACCGGUGGCGAAGGCGGCCCCCUGGACGAAGACUGACGCUCAGGUGCGAAAGCGUGGGGAGCAAACAGG